UUCCUGCAGUCAGAGUUGGGGACGAAGUCCGGCUCCCGUAGGAGUCUGGAUGAAGUCUAGAAGGUGGUCGAUCAUCAUGAAAACUUGGGUGGAGUCCAUCCAUCGUGAAGAAUCCGAUCGACGCUGGUGGGGGUUUAUCCGUCGGCAGAACCUGGGAAUGUUGCGGAGGCUCGACCGUUAGAGAGGUUCGGAAAGAUGUCACU
RNAcentral lists this long non-coding RNA (203 nucleotides) under Elaeis guineensis (African oil palm). RNAcentral describes it as "long non-coding RNA (EGUI_LNC082981)". The record is from RNAcentral. Lineage: Eukaryota; Viridiplantae; Streptophyta; Magnoliopsida; Arecales; Arecaceae.